RNAcentral lists this ribosomal RNA (3104 nucleotides) under Proteus vulgaris. RNAcentral's name for it is "23S ribosomal RNA". It matches the Rfam family "Bacterial large subunit ribosomal RNA". The record is from RNAcentral. Lineage: Bacteria; Pseudomonadati; Pseudomonadota; Gammaproteobacteria; Enterobacterales; Morganellaceae.
GGGUUGUGAGGUUAAGCGAAUAAGCGUACACGGUGGAUGCCUAGGCAAUCAGAGGCGAUGAAGGACGUGCUAAUCUGCGAUAAGCGUCGGUAAGGUGAUAUGAACCGUUAUACCCGACGAUUUCCGAAUGGGGAAACCCAAUAUCCAAUGGAUAUUAUCAUUAACUGAAUACAUAGGUUAAUGAAGCGAACCGGGAGAACUGAAACAUCUCAGUACCCCGAGGAAAAGAAAUCAACCGAGAUUCCCCUAGUAGCGGCGAGCGAACGGGGAACAGCCCAGAGUCUUAAUCAAUAGCAGCAUCAGGAGAACGGUCUGGAAAGUCCGGCAGUAAAGGGUGAUAGCCCCGUAUCCGAAGAUGCUGUUAUUGUGAGCUCGACGAGUAGGGCGGGACACGUGUUAUCCUGUCUGAAUAUGGGGGGACCAUCCUCCAAGGCUAAAUACUCCUGAUUGACCGAUAGUGAACCAGUACCGUGAGGGAAAGGCGAAAAGAACCCCGGCGAGGGGAGUGAAAAAGAACCUGAAACCGUGUACGUACAAGCAGUAGGAGCCCCAUCACUCAAGUGCCUCGCACUGAGUGAUUGGACAAACCACUCGAAAACAGCGCAGCAUUUACCUACAAAGUGGAUUGAUUUUUUCAAGCCGUCGCGCAGUGUACAUAGAAGUACACGAGCAACGGAAGUUAAAAAAUCGAGCCAGUUUGACAGUAAAAGCAAGCGGGACAUUUGAGGAUGGGGUGACUGCGUACCUUUUGUAUAAUGGGUCAGCGACUUAUAUUCUGUAGCGAGGUUAACCGUAUAGGGGAGCCGUAGGGAAACCGAGUCUUAACUGGGCGAAUGAGUUGCAGGGUAUAGACCCGAAACCCGGUGAUCUAUCCAUGGGCAGGUUGAAGGUUGGGUAACACUAACUGGAGGACCGAACCGACUAAUGUUGAAAAAUUAGCGGAUGACUUGUGGAUGGGGGUGAAAGGCCAAUCAAACCGGGAGAUAGCUGGUUCUCCCCGAAAGCUAUUUAGGUAGCGCCUCGUGAAUUCAUCUUCGGGGGUAGAGCACUGUUUCGACUAGGGGGUCAUCCCGACUUACCAACUCGAUGCAAACUGCGAAUACCGAAGAAUGUUAUCACGGGAGACACACGGCGGGUGCUAACGUCCGUCGUGAAGAGGGAAACAACCCAGACCGCCAGCUAAGGUCCCAAAGUCAUGGUUAAGUGGGAAACGAAGUGGGAAGGCUCAGACAGCCAGGAUGUUGGCUUAGAAGCAGCCAUCAUUUAAAGAAAGCGUAAUAGCUCACUGGUCGAGUCGGCCCGCGCGGAAGAUGUAACGGGGCUAAACCAUGCACCGAAGCUGCGGCAGCGACACUAAGUGUUGUUGGGUAGGGGAGCGUUCUGUAAGCCUGCGAAGGUGUACUGUGAGGUAUGCUGGAGGUAUCAGAAGUGCGAAUGCUGACAUAAGUAACGAUAAUGCGGGUGAAAAACCCGCACGCCGGAAGACCAAGGGUUCCUGUCCAACGUUAAUCGGGGCAGGGUGAGUCGACCCCUAAGGCGAGGCUGAAAAGCGUAGUCGAUGGGAAACGGGUUAAUAUUCCCGUACUGGUGGUAACUGCGAUGGGGGAACGGAGAAGGCUAGGUUGUCCGGGCGACGGUCGUCCCGGUUCAAGCAUGUAGGCAGAGUGAUUAGGCAAAUCCGGUCACUUAAUGCUGAGGUGUGAUGACGAACCACUAAGGUGGUGAAGCAAUUGAUGCCCUGCUUCCAGGAAAAGCCUCUAAGCUUCAGGUUACCAACAAUCGUACCCCAAACCGACACAGGUGGUCAGGUAGAGAAUACUCAGGCGCUUGAGAGAACUCGGGUGAAGGAACUAGGCAAAAUGGUGCCGUAACUUCGGGAGAAGGCACGCUGGCGGUAAGUGAAGUCCCUCGCGGACGGAGCCGAAGCCAGUCGAAGAUACCAGCUGGCUGCAACUGUUUAUUAAAAACACAGCACUGUGCAAACACGAAAGUGGACGUAUACGGUGUGACGCCUGCCCGGUGCUGGAAGGUUAAUUGAUGGGGUUAUCCUUAGGGAGAAGCUCUUGAUCGAAGCCCCAGUAAACGGCGGCCGUAACUAUAACGGUCCUAAGGUAGCGAAAUUCCUUGUCGGGUAAGUUCCGACCUGCACGAAUGGCGUAAUGAUGGCCAGGCUGUCUCCACCCGAGACUCAGUGAAAUUGAACUCGCUGUGAAGAUGCAGUGUACCCGCGGCAAGACGGAAAGACCCCGUGAACCUUUACUAUAGCUUGACACUGAACAUUGAGCCUUGAUGUGUAGGAUAGGUGGGAGACUAUGAAGUGUGGACGCCAGUCUGCAUGGAGUCAACCUUGAAAUACCACCCUUUAACGUUUGAUGUUCUAACCUAGGUCCAUAAUCUGGAUCGGGGACCGUGUCUGGUGGGUAGUUUGACUGGGGCGGUCUCCUCCUAAAGAGUAACGGAGGAGCACGAAGGUUGGCUAAGCAUGGUCGGACAUCAUGCGGUUAGUGCAAAGGCAUAAGCCAGCUUGACUGUGAGAGUGACGGCUCGAGCAGGUACGAAAGUAGGUCUUAGUGAUCCGGUGGUUCUGAAUGGAAGGGCCAUCGCUCAACGGAUAAAAGGUACUCCGGGGAUAACAGGCUGAUACCGCCCAAGAGUUCAUAUCGACGGCGGUGUUUGGCACCUCGAUGUCGGCUCAUCACAUCCUGGGGCUGAAGUAGGUCCCAAGGGUAUGGCUGUUCGCCAUUUAAAGUGGUACGCGAGCUGGGUUUAGAACGUCGUGAGACAGUUCGGUCCCUAUCUGCCGUGGGCGUUGGAAGAUUGAGAGGGGUUGCUCCUAGUACGAGAGGACCGGAGUGAACGCACCACUGGUGUUCGGGUUGUCAUGCCAAUGGCAUUGCCCGGUAGCUAAGUGCGGAAGAGAUAACCGCUGAAAGCAUCUAAGCGGGAAACUUGCCUCGAGAUGAGUCUUCCCUGUCACCUAGAGUGACCUAAAGGAACGUUUAAGACUAAGACGUUGAUAGGCUGGGUGUGUAAGCGUAGCGAUACGUUGAGCUAACCAGUACUAAUGAACCGUGAGGCUUAACCUGACAACACCGAAGGUGUUU